RNAcentral lists this long non-coding RNA (2144 nucleotides) under Homo sapiens (human). RNAcentral's name for it is "HSALNT0040613". Lineage: Eukaryota; Metazoa; Chordata; Mammalia; Primates; Hominidae. The record is from RNAcentral.
UCCUGCUGCCCAUGUAAGACAUGCUUGCUUCCCCUUUGCCCUUUCAGCAUAAUUGUAAGCUUCCUGAGGCCUUCCCAGAAGCAGAAGCCUGUACAGCCCAUAGGACCAUGAGCCAAGAAAACCACUUUUCUUUAUAAAUUACCCAGUCUCAGGUAUGUCUUUAUAGCAGUGUGAGAAUGGACUAAUACAGAUAGCUAUUAUCAAAAAGUCAAAAGUAAAUGAUGGUGAGGGUGUAGAGAAAAAUCAACUCUUGUACACUCUUGGGAAUGUAGAUUGGUAUAGCGAUUAUGGAAAAUAAUAUGGAGGUUUUAAAGAAAUUGAAAAUAGAACUACCAUAUGGCCCAGCAAUCCUUCUUCUGGGCAUUUACACAGAGAAAAUGAAAAUUUUCACCACAUAAAGAUAUCUACACUCCCAUGUUCAUUGCAAUAUUACUUAUAAUAGCCAAGAUAUGGAAACCAUCUAAGUGUCUGAGGACAAACUAAUGAAUAAAGAAACUGUGGUACAAUGGAAUAAUAUUCAGUCCUAAAAUGAGAAUGUGAUGUUGCCAUUUCCCACAAUGUGGAUGAGUUUGGAGGACAUUAUGCUAAGUGAAAUACAUCAAACACAGAAAGAAAAAUACUGCAGCAUCUUAUUUAUAUGGAAAAUUGAAAAAAAAUAUUUCCACACAGUUACAUAGCAAAAGAGUGAAUACCAGGAAGGCAAGAAGAGAAAAUGGAGAGACAUAGGGUCAGAGAAGGCAAAGCAGCAGAUAUGUAGGAUGAAAAGUCUCAAGAUUUAAUGGGCAACAUGAAAAUUGUAGUUAAUAAAAUUAUACUGCAUAUGGGAAUUCAUGCUAAAUGAGUAGAUUUUAGCUAAUCUUGCCACAAAAACAAAAAUAGGUAACCAUGUGAGAUGAUAGACAUGUUAAUUUGCUUCACUGUAGUAAUCUUUUUACUCCCUGUAUAUAUGCCAUAAUAUCAUGUUGAUACCUCAAAUACAUACAGCAAUUUUUCAAAAAAAAUUGACAUAUAUUAAAGAGGGCAGAAGUUUGUUUUCAGGGAUUUGAAUCGGACCCCCCUAUAGGAAAUUUAUUUGUAAGAGAUCAGAAAAAAAGAAAGUACAUUAUAAGUCAAAUAUAUCUUAAAGUAUAGUUCUCAAUUUUUAUACCAAAUAUAAGAUAGAGCCAAUUAUCAUUCAUCUAUAUAUUUUGUUGUUUAUAAAUGUUGAGAGAAAUUUUAUUGACCCAUAAUGAAGGAAUAAUAUCUUGCCCUAGCUCUGAAAAGUAAAUCAUUUAACAAAAUGAGAAAGGUUGCUUGAGAAUACAUUAUGCCCAAAAUUUCCACUUCCAGAAAAUAACAAUGAUGACAUUUAAUCUUUGAAUAUUUAUGUUGAAAAGCCUUUCAAGUAUUUUAAGGAAUCUGCUUCUGAAAUUCUUCAAUAUGGAUUAAUAAUGAGUAGGCAAAUGGGAAACUCAGUACAUGGUGAUAGGACUAAACAAAUGAAUGUAAAGUAUGAAAAUGUUUUAUUCACACAUAGUUUACAAUAUUUAGCACCACGUACUACAAAUCUCAAUAGACUUUUCUGUAACUUAAAUUAAUUUUUCAAAAAUCACUUUGAUGCUACAUUUCUCUCUUUUGCUUAGAAGUAAAAUAAGUUGUUACCAUCUUUUCAAUAAAACACAGAUCCCCAGACAAUUGCUUAGCCCUCUGUAAUUUACAACCUUUCUGAAGAACUCCAAAGCUGCAAUCCAUUUUGCCAAGGGGUUACUGCAGUCACAGCUACUGGCAGUUCUCCAAGCCAUAUAGGCGAGCACAGAGCAGAAGGCUAGAUCUCCAAGGACCUGAACAAUCUCCUUAAGAAUUGAGUGUGUUGGCUGUACAAUCCUCAUCUGAAAAGUUCAGUGACCAUGAAAUCCCCUGGGAUUUUAUUCUCCAUCAUCACUUGCAGGACUCAAAUACAUUCCCACUGGCAAGGCAGGCAGUGCUCCGGUGUUCUAGUAACAAACAAAGGGAAUCUGGCCUUGAUUUUGGUUAGUCGCUAUUUUAAGUCUUCCUUCUAUUCCAAAGCAUUUGAGAACCUCUAUACUUGCUCUUAUCUUGUCUUCAGACUUUCCAAAGUGCUUGAGUUGACAACUUGCUAAACAGGAAAAUUACGCUAGGAGGAA